CGGCGGACGGGUGAGUAACACGUGAGUAACCUGCCUUAGACAUUGGGAUAGCCUCGGAAACCGGGAUUAAUACCAAAUGAAAUCACAUAUGCACAUGCAUAAAUGAUCAAAGCUCCGGCGGUCUAAGAUGGACUCGCGUCCCAUUAGCUAGUUGGUGAGGUAACGGCCCACCAAGGCGACGAUGGGUAGCCGGCCUGAGAGGGUGAACGGCCACAUUGGAACUGAGAAACGGUCCAAACUCCUACGGGAGGCAGCAGCA
This 259-nucleotide ribosomal RNA is filed under the name uncultured Peptoniphilus sp. RNAcentral's name for it is "partial 16S ribosomal RNA". It matches the Rfam family "Bacterial small subunit ribosomal RNA", at positions 96 to 355 of the family's 1533-position model. The record is from RNAcentral. Lineage: Bacteria; Bacillati; Bacillota; Tissierellia; Tissierellales; Peptoniphilaceae.